GUGUCACCAUAUCGCCCUGUGAUGGAGUCACGUGGCCGCGUCAACACGUUGUGACGCGAGCUGUGAUGUCACUGUGAUGUGUGACAUCAUACCACUGCAUGGAACCAUCCUAUUACAGCCCAACCACGCCAUUCCAUCGUUCCCCUCGCCAGCGGCCCGGGCACAAUGCCCCUGGCUCAGGCUGUUACUCCGCUGUCUUGCAGCUAAUGUCCUUGCAUCAUGGCCUGGGUGUGAUGUCAUCCCGCUGCCUCAAAACAUGUAAACUUUGCCUUGUCACUCCAGUGUAUCAAGACAGAUCCGAAUCUUGUCCCACAGUGACCUAAUGUGACGACAUCUCCCCAGAAGCCACCACCUCAGGUUGUGAUAUAAUGUCAUCUGCUUGUCACCAAAUCAUCAGCAUCUCAGACCACACGGCUGCCAUAUGCUGAUGUCCUGUGAGCUCUGAAAGACUUUUCAGGAUCCAUUACUGGACAUGGGGUCACCUGAUAAAACCAGGGCAAAUCUAGAAAAUGCAGGCCACUGGCCAGAUGAGGAUAACUCUGCCCUUUGUAAUGCUUUUCUCCCCUGGGUCAGUUCCUCUGAACACUAAAUGCAGAAUAACUUUCCGGGUUCACCAGUACACAGAAUGAUUGCGGCAUGGGAUAGGAUGUGUUCUCCAGGACAUGAUGGUAUCCCAAGGCAAUACUGAUGCAGAUUAACUGACCCUGCUGCUAAGAGGGCUAAAGAAUGCAGGAACAGUCCAUGUGCUCAGUUUCCAUUAUAAAAUUAUCGUGGCUUCACACCUCAGUGGGUAGUGAUACCACAUGCAUGUGUCCAAGCCCUCACUUCUGGCUGUCUCUUUCGUUUCUUUCACAUGGUUGGGCUGUCAUAACUGCAGUGCUUAUGUGUGUGCCUGCCCUCUACUAGAUGUAAUGAGAACUGCUCAGCUGUGUUUCACAGGCCUUGUACUGCCACACAAAUUCUCCUUUAGCGUCAGUGCUAGGAGCAGUAGGGUCUGAGUUUUGCCCCCACUGCCUCUGCAAAGUUUGACUGGACAUGGAAUGCAGCAUAGUGGCAACCAGGAUCUCCUAGGUGGCCAUGGAUGGUAUAUGCCUGAAGCAGCCUCCUAGCUGGUAUCUGCCACCGGCCACACUCCUUUCUGCUCCUCCUUCAACAAACUCCUGCAAACUCUCCUGUUGCACACAGCAUUCCAGCUACAAUGACCACAGAAUCCCUAGGGACUUCAGGGCCUGGAUCUAGAGCAACAUAAAACCUUCGCAGCAAACCUAGAGCCAGGUCAGAGUCACUCAGGGCCGGUACGAACUCCAGAACCCAGAGCCUGACCAGAGCAUCCAGCACUGGUGGUAACUCCAGAACCCAGAGCCUGACCGGAGCAUCCGGCACUGGUGGUAACUCCAGAACGCAGAGCCUAACCGGAGCAUCUGGCACCAGUAAUAACUCCAGAACGCAGAGCCAGGCCGGAGCAUCCGGCGCCAGUAUGAACUCCAGAACGCAGAGCCUGACCGGAGCAUCCGGCACCGGUAAUAACUCCAGAACGCAGAGCCUGACCGGAGCAUCCGGCACCGGUAAUAACUCCAGAACGCAGAGCCUGACUGGAGCAUCCGGCACCGGUACGAACUCCAGAACCCAGAGCCUGACCGGAGCCUCCAGCACCAGUAAUAACUCCAGAACGCAGAGCCUGACCGGAGCAUCCGGCACCGGUAAUAACUCCAGAACCCAGAGCCAGGCCGGAGCGUCCGGCACCGGUACGAACUCCAGAACCCAGAGCCAGGUCACAGUCUCUCAGUAACAGUAUGUGCUCAAGACUCUGGUGAGGUGUCUCCCUGAUCGCAGCAGACCCGGGUUCGAUUGAUGAUUUUGCAUCCACCUCACAGAGAAGUUGGAAUUCCUGCAUAGAGCCUGGUCAGAUCCUCCACCCCAGAGGUCACGGCAGAGUCCUGGGAGAAGCACUGUGAGUCCCACCCAGCCAGGCCAGGGAGUUGGAGUGGGGUUAACGGGA
Long non-coding RNA from Mauremys reevesii (Reeves's turtle), 1999 nucleotides. RefSeq lists it as uncharacterized. The record is from RefSeq and is a predicted model, not a curated record. The transcript is spliced from 3 exons. Lineage: Eukaryota; Metazoa; Chordata; Testudines; Geoemydidae.